GAUGAACGCUGGCGGCGUGCCUAAUACAUGCAAGUCGAGCGAACAGACGAGGAGCUUGCUCCUCUGACGUUAGCGGCGGACGGGUGAGUAACACGUGGAUAACCUACCUAUAAGACUGGGAUAACUUCGGGAAACCGGAGCUAAUACCGGAUAAUAUAUUGAACCGCAUGGUUCAAUAGUGAAAGACGGUUUUGCUGUCACUUAUAGAUGGAUCCGCGCCGCAUUAGCUAGUUGGUAAGGUAACGGCUUACCAAGGCGACGAUGCGUAGCCGACCUGAGAGGGUGAUCGGCCACACUGGAGCUGAGACACGGUCCAGACUCCUACGGGAGGCAGCAGUAGGGAAUCUUCCGCAAUGGGCGAAAGCCUGAAGGAGCAACGCCGCGUGAGUGAUGAAGGUCUUCGGAUCGUAAAACUCUGUUAUUAGGGAAGAACAAAUGUGUAAGUAACUAUGCACGUCUGGACGGUACCUAAUCAGAAAGCCACGGCUAACUACGU
Molecule: ribosomal RNA, 496 nt
Filed under: uncultured bacterium
Lineage: Bacteria
Description: partial 16S ribosomal RNA
Rfam family: Bacterial small subunit ribosomal RNA
Source: RNAcentral